This 487-nucleotide ribosomal RNA is filed under the name uncultured bacterium. Its description in RNAcentral is "bacterial SSU rRNA". It matches the Rfam family "Bacterial small subunit ribosomal RNA", at positions 28 to 517 of the family's 1533-position model. The record is from RNAcentral.
GAUGAACGCUAGCGGCAGGCUUAACACAUGCAAGUCGAGGGGUAUAGUAGCAAUACUAGAGACCGGCGCACGGGUGCGUAACGCGUAUGCAAUCUACCUUUUACAGAGGGAUAGCCCAGAGAAAUUUGGAUUAAUACCUCAUAGCAUUGCGAAAUGGCAUCAUUUUGCAAUUAAAGUCACAACGGUAAAAGAUGAGCAUGCGUCCCAUUAGCUAGUUGGUAAGGUAACGGCUUACCAAGGCAACGAUGGGUAGGGGUCCUGAGAGGGAGAUCCCCCACACUGGUACUGAGACACGGACCAGACUCCUACGGGAGGCAGCAGUGAGGAAUAUUGGACAAUGGGCGCAAGCCUGAUCCAGCCAUGCCGCGUGCAGGAUGACGGUCCUAUGGAUUGUAAACUGCUUUUUGUACGAGAAGAAACACUCCGACGUGUCGGAGCUUGACGGUAUCGUAAGAAUAAGGAUCGGCUAACUCCGUGCCAGCAGCCG